UUGAACGCUGGCGGCAUGCCUUACCCAUGCAAGUCGAACGGUAACAGGUCUUCGGAUGCUGACGAGUGGCGAACGGGUGAGUAAUACAUCGGAACGUGCCCGAUCGUGGGGGAUAACGAGGCGAAAGCUUUGCUAAUACCGCAUACGAUCUACGGAUGAAAGCGGGGGAUCUUCGGACCUCGCGCGGACGGAGCGGCCGAUGGCAGAUUAGGUAGUUGGUGGGAUAAAAGCUUACCAAGCCGACGAUCUGUAGCUGGUCUGAGAGGAUGAUCAGCCACACUGGGACUGAGACACGGCCCAGACUCCUACGGGAGGCAGCAGUGGGGAAUUUUGGACAAUGGGCGAAAGCCUGAUCCAGCCAUGCCGCGUGCAGGAUGAAGGCCUUCGGGUUGUAAACUGCUUUUGUACGGAACGAAAAGCCUCUUUCUAAUAAAGAGGGGUCAUGACGGUACCGUAAGAAUAAGCACCGGCUAACUACGUG
RNAcentral lists this ribosomal RNA (481 nucleotides) under uncultured bacterium. RNAcentral's name for it is "partial 16S ribosomal RNA". It matches the Rfam family "Bacterial small subunit ribosomal RNA", at positions 30 to 507 of the family's 1533-position model. The record is from RNAcentral.